This 23-nucleotide non-coding RNA is filed under the name Arabidopsis thaliana (thale cress). Lineage: Eukaryota; Viridiplantae; Streptophyta; Magnoliopsida; Brassicales; Brassicaceae. The record is from RNAcentral.
GAUACCGAAACGCCUGUUUCCGA